CUUUCAUUCCGGCCGUUUCUCGCGACACGGAGUACACCAACAAAUCGUCCAAAGAUUCCCCCGGUGGUCCGGUUAGUGCGAGUGCCCAUGAGAUCUUCCGCGGAUUCAGUUUUAUAGCGCCCUGUUUGCUGGACGACAUUCAGAAUCAGAUGGGUCCCAGGGCACCGUUUACGAACGAAAUUCCUGGCGUCAAACCGGUCGCCUUUGCCGAUGAGUACGCAAUGAUGCAGGAGCUGGGGCGGGGAACGUUCUCCGUUUGUCGGUUGUGUGAGAAUCGUACCACCAAGAAGCAUUCGCCGUUAAGAUAAUCGACAAAUACGGUCACGAUUGUCGAGAGGAAGUGGAAAUUCUACUGAGAUACGGCAAUCAUCCGAACAUCGUGUCUCUGUUCAGUGUCCACAAGGACCCCACUUAUGUGUACCUGGUAAUGGAGUUGCUAAAAAGAGGGGAGCUGCUGGAUCGAAUCUUGUCUAUUCAAUAUAUGUCGGAGGUUGAGGCCAGUGCAGUCCUUAAAACGGUCGUAUCGGCCGUUGCUUAUCUGCAUGAGUACGGGGUCGUCCUCAGGGACCUUAAGCCCUCGAAUCUGUUGUACGCAUCCGCCAAUCAUACUCCGGAAUCGCUGAAACUGUGCGAUCUCGGGUUUGCCAAGCAGCUUCGGGCUGACAACGGUUUGCUCAUGACCCCAUGCUAUACGGCCAACUUUGUAGCGCCCGAAGGGCAUGCUAAUUGAAAUAUGCACCAAGAGGAAGCACAACAAAAAGGCACUGCAUAAAAAUAGUCGGUAAUAUUAAAAUUCAAUAAAAUG
Molecule: long non-coding RNA, 805 nt
Organism: Uranotaenia lowii
Lineage: Eukaryota; Metazoa; Arthropoda; Insecta; Diptera; Culicidae
Exons: 3
Source: RefSeq, a predicted model, not a curated record